Molecule: transfer RNA, 67 nt
Filed under: Bolitoglossa n. sp. RLM-2004
Lineage: Eukaryota; Metazoa; Chordata; Amphibia; Caudata; Plethodontidae
Description: tRNA-Tyr
Rfam family: tRNA
About the family: Transfer RNA (tRNA) molecules are approximately 80 nucleotides in length. Their secondary structure includes four short double-helical elements and three loops (D, anti-codon, and T loops). Further hydrogen bonds mediate the characteristic L-shaped molecular structure. tRNAs have two regions of fundamental functional importance: the anti-codon, which is responsible for specific mRNA codon recognition, and the 3' end, to which the tRNAs corresponding amino acid is attached (by aminoacyl-tRNA synthetases). tRNAs cope with the degeneracy of the genetic code in two manners: having more than one tRNA (with a specific anti-codon) for a particular amino acid; and 'wobble' base-pairing, i.e. permitting non-standard base-pairing at the 3rd anti-codon position.
Source: RNAcentral
GGUAAGGUGGCUGAGUUAAGCGUCGAGUUGUAGCCUCGGUAACAAAGGUCAAAUCCUUUCCUUGCUA